Molecule: RNA transcript, 3917 nt
Organism: Solea senegalensis (Senegalese sole)
Lineage: Eukaryota; Metazoa; Chordata; Actinopteri; Pleuronectiformes; Soleidae
Gene: apba1a
Gene name: amyloid beta (A4) precursor protein-binding, family A, member 1a
Exons: 15
Source: RefSeq, a predicted model, not a curated record
CACACACACACACACGCAUACAUACAGCAGCAGCAGCAGCAGUAGCGACAGGGAAGAUGGAGGACAGGGUGGUGGUGGUGAUGGUGGAGCAGACCUCCAGCCCGCAGCAGCAGCAGCAUCAUCCCCGCUGAUGGUCGCAGACUCUGAGCGCAAAGGGUCGUGUGCUGAUGAAGUUCUUCACUGUUGAUCCGACCACAACCCGACAGCCAUGAACUCCCAGGAGAUGGAGCUUGGUCAGGUGGUCAUGGAGGAAGAUGACACCCCUCCUCGCCAUCGCCACAGCAGUCAGUCUCGUACCCACGGCAACCAGGACAGAAGGCACAGACGUGACGCCCCGGGCGGAGGAAGUGUCAGUGGCAGAGCAAGGGCGCCGCAAGGGUGUCGCCCACAGGAGGAGCAAGAUACUGAGCUGCAAUACGGAGCUCCGCCUCCACAGGCCCAGCAGCAGCAGCAGCAGCAGCAGCAGCAGCCCAUCCCACGGCCUGCGGUGACCCGCUAUCGAAGGCAGGGGGACAGCGAGGCCCGGAUCCGAGUGCAGCAGCAGAGACACAGGCAGCGGCAGCAGAGAGAGGCGGAGAGAGCACAACAUUCAACACAACAACACAAAAAACACCCGGAGGUGGAAGAUGAACGAGAGAGGGACGAUUCAGCGCUGGCCCGCUCAGCCAGCACUGAGAGCGGCUUCCACACCCACAGUGACCGGGCCGAGGGGGACGACGGUCUGGUCCUGAUGUCUCUGGAGCCUGAGACGCAGCCAGAGGUGGAGGAUGAAACGGGGAACUACGGAGUCCAGCUGCGGCCCGAAGCCGAGGGAUACACCGAGAGUGCCGAGGCCGAGCAGCAGCAUCUCCACUCGCAUCCUUACUGCGCUCCUCGGCCGUUACCACGGGAACCCCCGCCCGACGUCCACCACGCCCAGAGACAGGACGACACGGAGGAGAGCCUGAACACGGGAUACUCCAAUUAUGUCUACACUGAGCCCCUGUGCCGUGCUCGAGGACGGCCGGAGAGUCUGGUCCCUCACAGCUCAGAGGGUCUGGAUUCUGGACUCGUGGAUGAAGCUUAUUCUGAGCCGUAUGACAUUUACUCCAUGUCUGAGCAUGUUUACGAGGAGAUCUGUGACGCUCCACCUUCAGGUUCCUCUGCUGCAGACGGAUCAGGAGACGCAGAGUCUCUUCAGCAGAAGAGGGCCGGCUUCCGGCUGCUGGAGGGCCAGGCUGUGGGUGGAGACUACCAUCAGCAGGAGGCCGUGGGCUCCCGUCUGCGGCACUACGACGAGCGCUCUGACGGCGAGUCAGACAGCCCGGAGAAGGAGGCGGAGUUUGCCCCCUACCCGCGCGCCGACAGCUGCGAGCAGGAGGAGGACAUCGACAGCAUCGUCGCUGAGGUGAAAGAAAGUAUAAGUUCUCAGAGUCUUCAUCAUACGUCAGAAGACACGAUAGACGAAGAAGACAAUCUGCCACAGGAAGAAGAAAAAACCUGUGAGGGAGACGUUAACCGAGCGAAGCCUGCGAGAAACCAGGCUGUCAGUCCUUCAGAGGAGCUCGCAGUGAUGAGGAACAGCCAGGAGAAGAGGGACGCCAUCUCUCUGGCCAUCAAGGAUAUUAAGGAGGCUAUAGAGGAGGUGAAGACCAGAACAGUGAGGUCUCCUUACACGCCUGAUGAGCCCAAGGAGCCUAUCUGGGUUAUGAGGCAGGACCUGAGUCCCACUGCUGAAUGUGACCUUCCACCAUCGCUAGGAGGAGAUUCUCCUGGUUCCGGGUCUCCCUCUCCUCUCGGAGCAGAGUCGUCCAGCAGACAUCUGCUGCAGGAGGACAGCGUGGAAUCUUCUCCCUCCAGUAAAGAGUCCAGGAGAAGUCUGGCGUCUUUCCCCACAUAUGUAGAAGUCCCAGGUCCAUGUGACCCUGAGGACCUGAUCGAUGGAAUCAUCUUCGCAGCAAACUACCUGGGCUCCACUCAGCUGCUGUCGGAUAAAACUCCGUCUAAGAAUGUUCGUAUGAUGCAGGCGCAGGAGGCCGUCAGCCGCAUCAAGACUGCGCAGAAGUUAGCCCAGACCAAGAAAAAGGCGUCUGAAGGUGACCCUCAGCCCAUGACUGAGGUGGAUCUCUUCAUCUCCACUCAGAGAAUCAAAGUGCUCAACGCUGACUCUCAGGAGACCAUGAUGGAUCACCCUCUGAGGACCAUCUCCUACAUCGCUGACAUUGGCAACAUCGUGGUUCUGAUGGCGCGGCGCAGGAUGCCUCGGGCCGACUCUCAGGAGGAUCUGGAAGCCUCAGACCCGGGACAAGAGAACAAGCGUCAGUACAAGAUGAUCUGCCACGUGUUUGAGUCUGAGGAUGCUCAGCUCAUCGCUCAGUCCAUCGGACAGGCCUUCAGCGUGGCCUACCAGGAGUUCUUACGAGCCAACGGAAUCAACCCCGAGGACCUGAGCCAGAAGGAGUACAGUGACCUGCUCAACACUCAGGACAUGUACAACGACGACCUCAUCCACUUCUCCAAGUCUGAGAACUGCAAAGAUGUGUUCGUUGAGAAAGCGAAGGGAGAGAUUCUGGGUGUGGUCAUCGUGGAGAGUGGGUGGGGCUCCAUCUUACCCACUGUCAUCAUCGCCAACAUGAUGCAUGCUGGGCCGGCGGAGAGGUCGGGCAGACUGAACAUCGGAGACCAGAUCAUGUCCAUCAACGGGACCAGUCUGGUGGGACUGCCGCUGUCCACCUGCCAGAGCAUCAUCAAGGGUCUGAAGAACCAGCCUCGGAUCAGUCUGAACAUCGUCAGGUGUCCCCCGGUGACCACAGUUCUCAUCAGACGACCCGACCUGCGCUACCAGCUGGGCUUCAGCGUUCAGAACGGCAUCAUCUGCAGUCUGAUGCGCGGUGGCAUCGCCGAGCGAGGCGGCGUGAGAGUCGGUCAUCGCAUCAUCGAAAUCAACAGCCAGAGCGUGGUGGCCACGCCCCACGAGAAGAUCGUCCACAUCUUAUCCAACGCUGUGGGAGAGAUCCACAUGAAGACGAUGCCUGCAGCCAUGUACCGCCUGCUCACCGCUCAGGAGCAGCCUGUUUACAUUUAACCAGACCUCACACUUCCUGCACUCAACUGUCACUCAAUCCCCAAACCCGCCUCAUCUGCUCCGCCCGCUCCUCCACCUACAGCCCUUCUUCCACAGCUGGUGUGAUGGACGGACGGAUAGAAGCUGUUUAUUGGAUGUUUCUGUUGCUCAGUGGCAGUGUAGUGUAUUCACUUUAAAGGUCCAAUAUGUAAUAUUUUUGCUCCACUGGUCGUCGCUAUGACAACUGGUGUCGAGUUUAAAGGCAGAAAUGAAAUAUACUACGUGGUUCAAUUAAAACUCCUCUGACAUUUAUCUGACAUAGACAUCAUUCUGAUGCAUAAUCUAACGUGUGAUAAUCUGCUGGUAAAAGGACAUGAUGACAGGAAAUGUCCAUCUAUUGGUUGCAAUCUGCAGUCUCACCAUUAGAUGUCACUAAUUAUUCCACAGUGGACCUCUCUGCAGUACUACACACACAUUUUGAGAAAAAAGUUGCAGAUUUAUGAGAUUUAACGCAGCAAAUCUGCGACUUUUUUCCUCCCCAGCGGCUGUAUUUUGUUUUUUUUCAUACUUGGCGCUAAUACACUGUCGGAAAAUGUUGCGUACUGGACCUUUAAAAGAUUUAUUUCUCACUUUGGCUUCAGUUUGCUCAUCACAGGUCAUCACAGGUCAUCACAGGUCAUCACAGCUUAUCACAGGCCAUCACAGGUAAUCACAGGUCACAGCUUAUCACAGGCCAUCACAGGUAAUCACAGGUCACAGCUUAUCACAGGCCAUCACAGGUCACAGGUCAUCACAUCUUAUCACAGGUCAUCACAGCUUAUCGCAGGUCACAGGUCAUCACAGGUCACAGGUCACCACAUCUUAUCACAGGUCA